This 514-nucleotide ribosomal RNA is filed under the name Metschnikowia koreensis. RNAcentral's name for it is "partial large subunit ribosomal RNA". It matches the Rfam family "Eukaryotic large subunit ribosomal RNA", at positions 24 to 497 of the family's 3401-position model. The record is from RNAcentral. Lineage: Eukaryota; Fungi; Ascomycota; Pichiomycetes; Serinales; Metschnikowiaceae.
CCCCGUGAACUUAAGCAUAUCAAUAAGCGGAGGAAAAGAAACCAACCAGGGAUUGCCUCAGUAACGGCGAGUGAAGCGGCAAAAGCUCAAAUUUGAAAUUCCUCCGGGAAUUGUAAUUUGAAGGUGGGGUUGAAUAGGUCUAGAUACUUUUAAGUCCAUUGGAAAAUGGCGCCAUGGAGGGUGAUAGCCCCGUAAAAGUAUUAACGCCUUCUUUUCUUCCCCUCCUAAGAGUCGAGUUGUUUGGGAAUGCAGCUCUAAGUGGGUGGUAAAUUCCAUCUAAAGCUAAAUAUUGGCGAGAGACCGAUAGCGAACAAGUACAGUGAUGGAAAGAUGAAAAGCACUUUGAAAAGAGAGUGAAAAAGUACGUGAAAUUGUUGAAAGGGAAGGGCUUGCAAGCAGACACAACCUCGGUUGGGCCAGCAUCGGAGUGGGGGGAGACAAAAAAGGCUAGGAAUGUAGCUCCCUUAGAGUAUUAUAUCCUGGCCCCAUAUCUCCACCCCCUUCCGAGGCCUGC